Molecule: long non-coding RNA, 653 nt
Organism: Acanthochromis polyacanthus (spiny chromis)
Lineage: Eukaryota; Metazoa; Chordata; Actinopteri; Pomacentridae
Exons: 3
Source: RefSeq, a predicted model, not a curated record
CUUGGUCCGGUCAUUGUACUUACAGUUCAGCAGCAGAAAGAACCAGAUGCCAGAGCACUGUGCCGCAUAUUCGUGUUCAAAUCGCCGGAUUGUCGAAAACAGGGCACGAGGGAUUACUUUUCACAAGUGAUGUGUGCCGUGCAAGCUUGGUCAGAGAUGCUGUACCAUCAUCAUUUGAUGAGAGCUCCCACCUUCUAGCUCUGAAAAACAAUGGAGGCCUACUGAUUCCAUCACAAGGCACAGUGAAGGUGCUGAGAGUUGCAGAGAGGGUGAUUCGCCAGGCUUCAGCAAAACAAGCUCCAAAGGUGUCAACAGUCACACACAACGUUCGGGAGGAGAUUGGAAUGGAGGUGGUUUUUCUGCUUGGGGAACACAUUGAAGAAAGACAGUUUGGUAUCGACAACCAUCAUUCCAGCUUGUUGUCAUUGGUUGUGUCCGUGUUUCUCAAGAUAAGGCUGCACCAUAUUGCCAAACUUACCUGUCUUGACCUGCAGAAAGGGAGCACGACAAAGAAGCUCUGCAAAACAGUCCUCUUUCAUUGGUUUUAGCUGUAAAACGUUUGUACAUGUGUAAAUGUGGUUUAGGGCAGGGAUGUCAUGUUCUUGUGUUAACUUGAGAAUUUACAUUUACAUUACAUUUUAUUCUCUCUACAU